Molecule: ribosomal RNA, 468 nt
Filed under: uncultured bacterium
Lineage: Bacteria
Description: partial 16S ribosomal RNA
Rfam family: Bacterial small subunit ribosomal RNA
Source: RNAcentral
GACGAACGCUGGCGGCGUGCUUAACACAUGCAAGUCGAACGGAAAGGCCCUGCUUUUGUGGUGUGCUCGAGUGGCGAACGUGUGAGUAACACGGGAGUAACCCGCCCUUGACUGUGGGAUAACUUCAGGACACUGGGGCUUAUAGCGGAGAAGCGCUCCUGCGGCAGGGUGGGGGUUGGAAAGUUUCGGCGGUGGGGGGUGGACGCCCGGCUUGUCAGCUUGUGGGUGGGGUGGUGGCUUAACGAGGCUUGGGGGGGCAGCGGGCCUGAGAGGGUGCCCGGCCACAGUGGGAGUGAGACGCGGCCCAGACUCCUGCGGGAGGGAGGAGUGGGGAAUAUUGCACAAUGGGCGGAAGUGUGACGCAGCAGCGCCGUGUGGGGGAUGGCGGCCUUCGGUGUGUAAACCGCUCUCGAGUGUGAAAACGCGUUAGUGACGGUAAUGGGUUAAGAAGCACCGGCUAACUACGUG